RNAcentral lists this ribosomal RNA (468 nucleotides) under uncultured bacterium. Its description in RNAcentral is "partial 16S ribosomal RNA". It matches the Rfam family "Bacterial small subunit ribosomal RNA", at positions 28 to 507 of the family's 1533-position model. The record is from RNAcentral.
GACGAACGCUGGCGGCGUGCUUAACACAUGCAAGUCGAACGGAAAGGCCCUGCUUUUGUGGGGUGCUCGAGUGGCGAACGGGUGAGUAACACGUGAGUAACCUGCCCUUGACUUUGGGAUAACUUCAGGAAACUGGGGCUAAUACCGGAUAGGAGCUCCUGCUGCAUGGUGGGGGUUGGAAAGUUUCGGCGGUUGGGGAUGGACUCGCGGCUUAUCAGCUUGUUGGUGGGGUAGUGGCUUACCAAGGCUUUGACGGGUAGCCGGCCUGAGAGGGUGACCGGCCACAUUGGUACUGAGAUACGGCGCAGACUCCUACGGGAGGCAGCAGUGGGGAAUAUUGCACAAUGGGAGGAAGCGUGAUGAAGAAACGCCGCGUGCGGGAUGACGGUCUUCGGGCUGUAAACCGCUUUAGCUUGUGACGAAGCGUGAGUGACGGUAAUGGGUAAAGAAGCACCGGCUAACUACGUG